AACCCUCCUUCCACCACACCUCAGCCCUGGGAGGCCUGGUGACCAGCUGGGAGUGCCGGGCUCCAAGGCUGAGAGGUGUUGCUCAAUCAGCUGAAGUGUCCUAGUCCAUGAAAAGGGUACGAUUUCUCUUUGCCGAAGAGACAAUGCGGGAACCUUAGGAGAAAACAGCAGGAAAAGACAUUGCUGCCCAGGUGGACACACAUCUCCUCCAGGUGCGCUUUCCUUGGCUUUUGAGGCCUCGUAUAUUUGGACGUUGAAGGCGUCCCUCAGGUACCACCUGGAAUGGUUUGUGCGAGUGGAGCUCUACUACCAAAUGAAAACUUUCAAUUACAUUAUUGUGCAUAAUGGACUUGGGGGCCUUUUUAAAGCAAAGGAAGUAACACUGCAGGAAAGGCAAAAUGGAAUUAAAGAAGCGGAGAGGUGUUUCUCUCCAGGAUCUUGCUACUUAUUGAUGACACCGUAUCAAGGCGCCAGAGUCCAAAUGGUCAUCAUAAGAAAAACUGCACCUAACUUCCACAGCCUCCUAGGAGGCCCAGAGACAUCACUGUACUUGCCUGCCAUCCUAUGUGGUGCUGGAAAAAAAAAAAAAAAAAAAAAAAGAGGGGG
This 606-nucleotide long non-coding RNA is filed under the name Homo sapiens (human). Its description in RNAcentral is "HSALNT0299535". Lineage: Eukaryota; Metazoa; Chordata; Mammalia; Primates; Hominidae. The record is from RNAcentral.